This 418-nucleotide ribosomal RNA is filed under the name uncultured bacterium. Its description in RNAcentral is "bacterial SSU rRNA". It matches the Rfam family "Bacterial small subunit ribosomal RNA", at positions 358 to 773 of the family's 1533-position model. The record is from RNAcentral.
GGAAUAUUGGUCAAUGGACGCAAGUCUGAACCAGCCAUGCCGCGUGCAGGAAGAAUGUCCUAUGGAUUGUAAACUGCUUUUUUAUAGGAAGAAACCCCUGGAUGCGUCCGGGGCUGACGUUACUAUAAGAAUAAGGAUCGGCUAACUUCGUGCCAGCAGCCGCGGUAAGACGAAGGAUUCAAGCGUUGUCCGGAUUUACUGGGUUUAAAGGGUGCGUAGGCGGAAGUCUAAGUCAGUGGUGAAAUCCCGCAGCUCAACUGCGGAACUGCCAUUGAAACUGGUCUUCUUGAAUACAGUUGAGGUAGAUGGAAUAUAACAUGUAGCGGUGAAAUGCUUAGAUAUGUUAUAGAACACCGAUUGCGAAGGCAGUCUGCUAAGCUGUUAUUGACGCUGAGGCACGAAAGUGUGGGGAUCAAAC